AAGUCGUAACAAGGUCUCCGUAGGUGAACCUGCGGAGGGAUCAUUACUGAGUGAGGGCCUCUGGUCCGACCUCCAACCCUUUGUGAACCAACACUGUUGCUUCGGGGGCGACCCUGCCUUUCGGGCAGUGCGCCCCCGGAGGAUAUCAAAACGCUGCAUCUUUUGCGUCGGAGUAUCAAUCAAAUUGAACAAAACUUUCAACAACGGAUCUCUUGGUUCUG
RNAcentral lists this unclassified non-coding RNA (221 nucleotides) under Neoceratosperma yunnanense. RNAcentral describes it as "Neoceratosperma yunnanensis partial internal transcribed spacer region". The stretch from base 1 to 46 matches the Rfam family "Eukaryotic small subunit ribosomal RNA", at positions 1786 to 1831 of the family's 1831-position model. The record is from RNAcentral. Lineage: Eukaryota; Fungi; Ascomycota; Dothideomycetes; Mycosphaerellales; Mycosphaerellaceae.